Molecule: ribosomal RNA, 245 nt
Filed under: uncultured bacterium
Lineage: Bacteria
Description: partial 16S ribosomal RNA
Rfam family: Bacterial small subunit ribosomal RNA
Source: RNAcentral
UACAGAGACCCCGAGCGUUAUCCGGAUUUAUUGGGCGUAAAGCGUCUGUAGGCGUCCUGCUAAGUCCCCGGUUAAAGCCCACCGCUCAACGGUGGAACAGCCUGGGAUACUGGUAGGAUUGAGGUUGGGAGAGGCAAGCGGAAUUACCGGUGUAGUAGUAAAAUGCGUUAAUAUCGGUAAGAACACCAAAGGCGAAGGCAGCUUGCUGGAACACACCUGACGCUGAGAGACGAAAGCGUGGGGAG